AAGCAGCGAGGCCUAAAAUAAGACUUUGUUGCGGCUACAUGGAGCUGAGUGCCCUCCCUGAAGGCAAAAGCGGAAGGGGUAGGUCGUCGGCUACUCGGACACCUGCCGCGUCAAGGGCGGCAGCGGGAGCUGACCCUUCCCCGACGGACGGACGGACGCCGGUGAGGACUCUUUGGGUGUCACAAGGUAAGGGAAAGCGUGCCGGCGUCCAGCUCGGUGGCAGGCUCGCUCCCAGGUGGUGUUUCUGCACUGCAAAACAAUAAACGGUUGCUUUAAUUCUUUG
Long non-coding RNA from Rhea pennata, 283 nucleotides. RefSeq lists it as uncharacterized. Lineage: Eukaryota; Metazoa; Chordata; Aves; Rheiformes; Rheidae. The transcript has 2 exons. The record is from RefSeq and is a predicted model, not a curated record.